RNAcentral lists this transfer RNA (78 nucleotides) under Persephonella marina EX-H1. RNAcentral describes it as "tRNA-Pro". It matches the Rfam family "tRNA". Rfam says of the family: Transfer RNA (tRNA) molecules are approximately 80 nucleotides in length. Their secondary structure includes four short double-helical elements and three loops (D, anti-codon, and T loops). Further hydrogen bonds mediate the characteristic L-shaped molecular structure. tRNAs have two regions of fundamental functional importance: the anti-codon, which is responsible for specific mRNA codon recognition, and the 3' end, to which the tRNAs corresponding amino acid is attached (by aminoacyl-tRNA synthetases). tRNAs cope with the degeneracy of the genetic code in two manners: having more than one tRNA (with a specific anti-codon) for a particular amino acid; and 'wobble' base-pairing, i.e. permitting non-standard base-pairing at the 3rd anti-codon position. Lineage: Bacteria; Pseudomonadati; Aquificota; Aquificia; Aquificales; Hydrogenothermaceae. The record is from RNAcentral.
UCGGAGCGUAGCUCAGGCGGUAGAGCACUGGCAUGGGGGGCCAGAGGUCGGCGGUUCGAGUCCGCUCGCUCCGACUUU